RNAcentral lists this ribosomal RNA (253 nucleotides) under uncultured bacterium. RNAcentral's name for it is "partial 16S ribosomal RNA". It matches the Rfam family "Bacterial small subunit ribosomal RNA", at positions 524 to 776 of the family's 1533-position model. The record is from RNAcentral.
UACGAAGGGGGCUAGCGUUGCUCGGAAUUACUGGGCGUAAAGGGCGCGUAGGCGGACAGUUUAGUCAGAGGUGAAAGCCCAGGGCUCAACCUUGGAACUGCCUUUGAUACUGACUGUCUUGAGUUCGGGAGAGGUGAGUGGAAUGCCGAGUGUAGAGGUGAAAUUCGUAGAUAUUCGCAAGAACACCCGUGGCGAAGGCGGCUCACUGGCCCGAUACUGACGCUGAGGCACGAAAGCGUGGGGAGCAAACAGG